UACGUAGGCAGCAAGCGUUGUUCGGAAUUACUGGGCGUAAAGAGUGUGUAGGCGGUGCUCUAAGUCUGGUGUGAAAUCUCCCGGCUUAACUGGGAGGGUGCAUUAGAAAACUGGAAUGCUAGAGGAUGGGAGAGGUAAGCGGAAUUCCUGGUGUAGCGGUGAAAUGCGUAGAUAUCAGGAGGAACACCUGUGGUGUAGACAGCUUACUGGACCAUUUCUGACGCUGAGACACGAAAGCGUGGGUAGCAAACAGG
Molecule: ribosomal RNA, 254 nt
Filed under: uncultured bacterium
Lineage: Bacteria
Description: partial 16S ribosomal RNA
Rfam family: Bacterial small subunit ribosomal RNA
Source: RNAcentral